CCUACGGGAGGCAGCAGUCGGGAAUAUUGCGCAAUGGAGGAAACUCUGAUGCAGUGACGCCGCGUGCAGGAAGAAGGCCUUCGGAUUGUAAACUGCUUUAGACAGGGAAGAAACAAGACAGUAACUGUAAAAUAAACUCCGGCUAACUACGUGCCGGCAGCCGCGGUAAUACGGAGGGAGCAAGCGUUAUCCGGAAUUAUUGGGGGUAAAGGGUGCGUAGACGGGAAGUCAAGUUGAUGGUGUAAUCCCUCGGCCUAACUGAUGAACUGCCACCAAAACUAACUUGCUUGAGUGCUGGAGAGGAAAGUGGAAUUCCUAGUGUAGCGGUGAAAUGCGUAGAUAUUAGGAGGAACACCAGUGGCGAAGGCGACUUUCUGGACAGUAACUGACGUUGAGGCACGAAAGUGUGGGGAGCAAACAGGAUUAGAUACCCUAGUAGUC
This 441-nucleotide ribosomal RNA is filed under the name uncultured bacterium. RNAcentral describes it as "partial 16S ribosomal RNA". It matches the Rfam family "Bacterial small subunit ribosomal RNA", at positions 338 to 795 of the family's 1533-position model. The record is from RNAcentral.